GGAAAAGAAAUCAACCGAGAUUCCGUAAGUAUUGGCGAAAGAAAGCGGAAAAGACAACGCAAAAACUCUAUCAAACAGAACAAGGUGGGAUCCUUGACCAAAGAUGGUGAUAGUCCAGUAUUCUUUGAAAGGUUUUUGGAAUUUGAAGUAAAACAAAUCAAAUUGUUUGAAUAAAAGGAGGCCCACCUUCUUUGUCUAAAUAUAUUGUUAAGACCGAUAGUGAACAAGUACCGUGAGGGAAAAGUGAAAAGAACCCUAGAAAAGGGAGUGAAAAAGAUCCUGAAAUUUAAAACGUACAAGCAGUCAAACAAAUCAUGGAAUUUGUGUGGCGUACCUUUUGCAUAAUGGGU
This 350-nucleotide ribosomal RNA is filed under the name Ostreococcus mediterraneus. RNAcentral describes it as "partial Bacterial large subunit ribosomal RNA". It matches the Rfam family "Bacterial large subunit ribosomal RNA", at positions 215 to 620 of the family's 2925-position model. The record is from RNAcentral. Lineage: Eukaryota; Viridiplantae; Chlorophyta; Mamiellophyceae; Mamiellales; Bathycoccaceae.